Ribosomal RNA from Ursus americanus (American black bear), 151 nucleotides. It matches the Rfam family "5.8S ribosomal RNA". Rfam says of the family: 5.8S ribosomal RNA (5.8S rRNA) is a component of the large subunit of the eukaryotic ribosome. It is transcribed by RNA polymerase I as part of the 45S precursor that also contains 18S and 28S rRNA. The record is from Ensembl. NCBI's taxonomy places the organism in Eukaryota, Metazoa, Chordata, Mammalia, Carnivora, Ursidae.
AUGACUCAGCAAUUGAUCGCUUAGCUCAUGGGCAGAUGAAGAACACAGCUAGCUGUGAGAUUAAUGUGAAUUACAGGACACAUUGAUCAUCAACACUUCAAACACACUUGCAGCCCUAAGUUUUUUUAGAGCUAUGCCAAAACAAAACAAA